AUCUGCCCCGAACUGGGGAAUAGCUUCGGGAAACCGAAGGUAAUACCCCAUAGUCCUCACUUUUUGUGAGGUAAAGGAUGUAACUGUUCGGUUUGGGAUGAGCCUAUGUCCUAUCAGGUAGUUGGUGAGGUAACGGCUCACCAAGCCUAUGACGGGUAGCUGGCCUCAUGAGGGUGGUCAGCCAGAGGGGGACUGAGACACGGCCCCCACUCCUACGGGAGGCAGCAAUUAGGAAUAGUCGGCAAUGGGCGAAAGCCUGACCGCGCAAUGCCGCGUGUAGGAAGACGCUCUAACGAGUGUAAACUACUGUGGCGAGGGAAGAAGUCUUCGGAUUGACGGUACCUCGCUAGAAAGGGGCCGCUAACUGCGUGCCAGAAGCGUCGGUAAGACGUGGGCCCCGAGCGUUAUCCGGUGUUACUGGGCGUAAAGAGUCGUGUAGGCGGUUCGAAAAGUUACCUUUUAAAUCCCAAUGCUCAACAUUGGAACUGGAGGUAAUACUCUCGAACUAGAGUUUUCUACGGGGUGAAUGGAACUGUGGGAGGAGUAGUGAAAUGCGUUGAUCCCCACGGGAACACCAGCGGCGAAGGCGGUUCACUGGUAGAAGACUGACGCUGAGACACGAAAGCUAGGGUAUCGAAGCAGAUUAGAGACCUGCGUAGUCCUAGCCGUAAACGCAUGCUUGCUAGCUGCAUUUCCGCCCCUUCGGGGGUUAGGUGUGGCGAAGGUAACCCGUUAAGCAAGCCGCCUGGGGAUUACGGUCGCAAGACUAAAACUCAAAGGAAUUGGCGGGGAGGCACACAACCAGUGGAACAUGUGGUUUAAUUCGAAACAAACCGAAGAACCUCACCUGGGUUUGACAUGUAGCUGCUCAUCCUAUGAAAGUAGGACUCCUUCGAGGGUGCUACACAGGUGCUGCAUGGCUGUCGUCAGUUCGUUCCGUGAGGAGUGCCCUUAAGU
Molecule: ribosomal RNA, 957 nt
Filed under: uncultured organism
Description: bacterial SSU rRNA
Rfam family: Bacterial small subunit ribosomal RNA
Source: RNAcentral